This 465-nucleotide ribosomal RNA is filed under the name uncultured bacterium. RNAcentral's name for it is "partial 16S ribosomal RNA". It matches the Rfam family "Bacterial small subunit ribosomal RNA", at positions 28 to 507 of the family's 1533-position model. The record is from RNAcentral.
GACGAACGCUGGCGGCGUGCUUAACACAUGCAAGUCGAACGGAAAGGCCCUGCUUGCGGGGUACUCGAGUGUCGAACGGGGGAGUAUCACGUGUGUGUUCUGUCCUGCACUUCGUGAUAAGCCUGCGGGACUGUGUGUCAUAUCGGAUAGAAGCCCUUUUUAUUGUUAGGGUGGGAAAGUUUUUUCGGUGUGGGAUGGGACCGCUGCCUAUCUGCUUGUUUGUGGGGUAAUGGCCUACCAAGGCGGCGACUGGUAGCCGGCCUGGGAGGGUGGACGGCCACAUUGGGAAUGGGAUACGGCCCAGACUCCCAAGGGAGGCAGCAGGUGGGAAAAUUGCACAAUGGGCGCAAGGCUGAUGCAGCGAAGCCGCGUGGGGGAUGAAGGCCUUUGGGUUGUAAACUCGUUUCGCUCGGGGAGAAGCUGUUUGUGACGGUAACUAGAUAAGAAGCACCGGCUAACUACGUG